This 465-nucleotide long non-coding RNA is filed under the name Triticum aestivum (bread wheat). RNAcentral describes it as "long non-coding RNA (TAES_LNC000253)". Lineage: Eukaryota; Viridiplantae; Streptophyta; Magnoliopsida; Poales; Poaceae. The record is from RNAcentral.
AACAGCAACCAUGUCAAGUGCGACGCCUUUAGGUGCAAGAAGUUCGUGUUGCCGUCACCGCCACCUCCUCCGCCUUCACCACCGCCACCAACCCCAUCUCCUCCGCCACCUUCACCUUCACCACCGCCGCCGUCGCCUCCUCCACCAACCCCGUCUCCUCCGCCACCUUCACCACCGCCGCCGUCGCCUCCUCCACCAACCGCGUCUCCUCCACCACCUUCACCUCCACCCCCGUCCCCAUCACCCCCACCUCCGUACUACGAGGUCUCACCUGAGGAACGGUACCUUUCGCCGCCACCUCCAGCGUACCAAGAGCCGACAACGCCUCCCCGUUACGACGUGCCAGCUCCCUACUACGAGGUGUCACCGGAGGACCGGUACCACUCACCGCCACCCCAAGCUUACCAAGAGUCUCCACCUCCGCCCUACUACGAGGUGUCACCGGAGGACCGGUACCUGUCGCCG